UUGUUAUUACCACCCUCUAUGGGUGCUUGUUUCCAGUCUUUCUCCCUCUCCCUCUCCCUUUACAUACCCCCCCCCUCCGGUUCUCCCACUCCUCUCCUCCUCUCCCCUCCCCCUCGCUCUCACUGUCUCUGUCUCUCUCUCUCUCCCUCCCCCUCCCGUACCCCUCUCUCCCUCUCCUCCCCUCCCACAUCUCUCUCCCUCUCCCUGUCUCUGUCUCUCUCCCUCCUUAUCUUCCUACCCCUCUCUAUUCCCCUCUCCCAUUCUUUGCCUCUUUCCCUCUCCUUCCCCCUGUCUCUCUGUCUCUCCCUCCCCCUUUCCACUCUCUCUCUCUGUCUCUCUCUCUACCUCUCCCUCUCUCUCUCCCUCCCUCCCCCCUCUCCACUCUCUCUGUCUCUCUCUCUCCCUCUCUCUCUCUCUCUCUCUCUCUCCCUCCCCCUCCUCAUCUCCCAUUCUCUGUCUCUCUCCCUCCCUCUCCCCCCUCUCUGUCUCUCUCCCUCUUGCUCCCCCUGUCCCUCUCCCUCUCCCACUCUGUCUCUCUCCCUCUCUCACUCUCUCUCUCUCCCUGAUGGCCACAGACCCUGGCAUUCCACUCACUCAGCACUAACAGUUUAACUCAGGGCACGACAGGCGUGUUUUUGUGUGUGUGUGCACCUGUGCACGUGCGUGUGUGUGUGGUUGGCAUUGUGGCAGGCAAGCAGAAAGGCAGGCAGGCUGGGCACAUAUGUCCCGACAGCGAUACCAGGCCAUGGCAACACAUUAACACUUGUUAAUAUCAGCAGGAUGAGCCGUGGUGGCACAGCGACAGGUAGUGAUGUAACGUAGCCUUCAGGGUGCCCAGUAACUGGCAGCAGUGCUCGCUGUGGUGAGAUUGCUUUCCUCUUCGCAUUUCCUAUUAAGAAGAGGAACUCAUGUGCUAGGCUAGUGUAAUGCUAGCUGUGCUAUGCUAAUAAUGAUAAUAACAAUAAUAAUAACACUAAUAGUAAGUAGAGCGAUGUUCAUUUACAGACAGAAAUUACAAAGUGCUUUACAUUGUGAGCGACCAUUAAAAAAUACUUUACAUAAAACAGGUAAAAACAUUAAGCGGGAAUUAAAAGAUCACUAAUGGCCUAGUAAAAUACAAGAUACACAAAAUAAUAAAGGCUUGUGUAACGCUAGCUGUGUGCUAUGCUAGGCUGUACGUAGUGUGAUAAGGCUUGUGUAAUGCUAGCUGUGCUAUGCUAGGCUUUAUGUAGUGUGGUAAGGCUUGUGUAAUGCUAGCUGUGCUAUGCUGGGCUUUAUGCGGUGUGGUAAGGCUUGUGUAAUGCUAGCUGUGCUAUGCUAGGCUGUGGUCAUGUAUUCCAAUCUGUUUGCUGAUAUGGAAGGCUUCAGUUUUCCAAUGGACGAUGUCAUUUAGCCAGAGGAAGAGACCUUCAACCCUAGUUAUUGUUGCUCCUAUUCAAGACUGCCAGAGAUACUGGGCUGAAUGCUUGUAGGCCCAUGUGUCAAGAUGUGUACAUGUCUGUGUGAGAGGAACUGCCAGACGACCUCCUGAGGGUGGAAGGAAACGUCUGUUGUUGGCAAUCUAGUGUUGGCAAACAACACCAUCCGCCUACAUCAACUAGGAGAGCCAAUCAUCGCAGAUCACACGACAUUCCCUAAUAUCAACCGUGUCAGUAUGCCGACACUCUGCCGCAUCUUGCGUCAACACCAACUUACGAUGAAGCAGCUGUACAGGGUUCCAUUUGAGAGGAACAGCGUUAGAGUCAAAGAACUUCGCUAUGACUAUGUGCAAAUAAGUACUAUACUGUAAUACAGUAAUGGCAGUAGAUGUUGUCCUAUUUGCACUGUAUAGAUACAUUCAGACAAAGCAGUAUGUGACCUAGGCAGGUGCCCCUAUUCUGGGGACGGCGGGGUUGUCUGUGGGGGCACCUACCUUGCCCAUAGCUUGUAGUUUUCACUGAAUGUGUCUGACCCAACCCACCCCAUCCUUGUGUGAAA
RNAcentral lists this long non-coding RNA (1977 nucleotides) under Salmo salar (Atlantic salmon). RNAcentral's name for it is "lncRNA (ENSSSAG00000088364.1)". The record is from RNAcentral. Lineage: Eukaryota; Metazoa; Chordata; Actinopteri; Salmoniformes; Salmonidae.